CCGUAGAGAGUUUCGUAGUCCUAGGCGUCACGGAUGAACGCUGCGGCGUGCCUACACAUGCAAGUCGAGCGAAGCGACUUCGAUUAGAACUCUUCGAGGGACGAGGAAGUGACUGAGCGGCGACGGGUGAGUAACGCGUGGGCAACCUGCCUUACGACAGGGGAUAACAGUUAGAAAUGACUGCUAAUACCGCAUAAGACCACAUUGCCGCAUGGCAGGGUGGUAAAAACUCCGGUGGUGUAAGAUGGGCCCGCGUCUGAUUAGGUAGUUGGCAGGGUAGAGGCCUACCAAGCCUACGAUCAGUAGCCGGCCUGAGAGGGUGGACGGCCACAUUGGGACUGAGACACGGCCCAAACUCCUACGGGAGGCAGCAGUGGGGAAUAUUGCACAAUGGGGGAAACCCUGAUGCAGCGACGCCGCGUGAGUGAGGAAGUAUUUCGGUAUGUAAAGCUCUAUCAGCAGGGAAGAAAAUGACGGUACCUGACUAAGAAGCCCCCGGCUAACUACGUG
RNAcentral lists this ribosomal RNA (510 nucleotides) under uncultured Lachnospiraceae bacterium. RNAcentral describes it as "bacterial SSU rRNA". It matches the Rfam family "Bacterial small subunit ribosomal RNA", at positions 1 to 507 of the family's 1533-position model. Lineage: Bacteria; Bacillati; Bacillota; Clostridia; Lachnospirales; Lachnospiraceae. The record is from RNAcentral.